RNAcentral lists this ribosomal RNA (441 nucleotides) under uncultured bacterium. RNAcentral describes it as "partial 16S ribosomal RNA". It matches the Rfam family "Bacterial small subunit ribosomal RNA", at positions 339 to 795 of the family's 1533-position model. The record is from RNAcentral.
CUACGGGUCGCACCAGUCAAGAAUCUUCCACAAUGGCCGAAAGGCUGAUGGAGCGACGCCGCGUGCAGGAAGACGCUUUUCGGAGUGUAAACUACUUUUAUUAGGGACGAAACAAUGACGGUACCUAAUGAAUAAGGGGCUGCUAACCUCGUGCCAGCAGCAGCGGUAAUACGAGGGCCCCAAGCGUUAUCCGGAUUUAUUGGGCGUAAAGGGUCCGUAGGCGGCCUGACGCAUCUUCUGUCAAAUCUACCGGCUUAACCGGUAGGCUGCGGAAGAGAUGGUCAGGCUAGAGACCGGAAGAGGCAAUCGGAAUUGCUGGUGUAGGGGUUAAAUCCAUUAAUAUCAGCAGGAACACCAAAUGCGAAGGCAGAUUGCUAGGACGGUUCUGACGCUGAGGGACGAAAGCGUGGGUAGCGAAUGGGAUUAGAUACCCGCGUAGUC